AUUUAGAGGAAGGAGAAGUCGUAACAAGGUUUCCGUAGGUGAACCUGCGGAAGGAUCAUUGUCGAAACCUGCCCAGCAGCACGACCCGUGAACUUGUUUACCACAUUGACAAGCGCGUGUGGCCAGUCCUCGGAUUGGCAACAUGCCCUUGUAAGUCGAGGGGUGCCAAUGGCUCAUGCAGCCUUUGGCUCCUCAAGACAACAACAAACCAAAUCCCGGCGCGGGUUGCGCCAAGGAACAAUCAAAAACUCAAGGAACCCUUCUCCAUCCUGGAAACAGUGUGUGCGACGAGGGCUUGUUCCUUUUAGUUGUAAUCAAAACGACUCUCGGCAACGGAUAUCUCGGCUCUUGCAUCGAUGAAGAACGUAGCGAAAUGCGAUACGUGGUGUGAAUUGCAGAAUCCCGUGAACCAUCGAGUUUUUGAACGCAAGUUGCGCCCAAGGCCUUUUGGUUGAGGGCACGUCUGCCUGGGUGUCACACAAUGUUUGCCCAAACCCAAAUUAUCGUGGGAUAAGGGCGGAUGUUGGUCUCCCGUGUGCCAUUUGCUCGCGGUUGGCCCAAACACAAGCCUCUCUGAUGUUGUACACGGCAAUCGGUGGUUUAAAGACCCUCGGACAACGUCGUGCACUCUCGUCACAUUGGCACUAAUACCCCCAAAGCAAUCGUUGCAUGCUCAUAAAGCGACCCCAGGUCAGGCGAGACUACCCGCUGAGUUUAAGC
This 720-nucleotide unclassified non-coding RNA is filed under the name Garcinia xanthochymus (false mangosteen). RNAcentral's name for it is "partial contains small subunit ribosomal RNA, internal transcribed spacer 1, 5.8S ribosomal RNA, internal transcribed spacer 2, and large subunit ribosomal RNA". The stretch from base 322 to 477 matches the Rfam family "5.8S ribosomal RNA". The record is from RNAcentral. Lineage: Eukaryota; Viridiplantae; Streptophyta; Magnoliopsida; Malpighiales; Clusiaceae.